This 253-nucleotide ribosomal RNA is filed under the name uncultured bacterium. RNAcentral's name for it is "partial 16S ribosomal RNA". It matches the Rfam family "Bacterial small subunit ribosomal RNA", at positions 524 to 776 of the family's 1533-position model. The record is from RNAcentral.
UACGUAGGUGGCAAGCGUUGUCCGGAUUUACUGGGCGUAAAGGGCGUGCAGGCGGUUUGUUAAGUCUAGGGUGAAAGCUCCCGGCUCAACUGGGAGAGGUCCUUGGAUACUGGCAGACUUGAGGAGGGUAGAGGAGAGUGGAAUUCCCGGUGUAGUGGUGAUAUGCGUAGAUAUCGGGAGGAACACCAGUGGCGAAGGCGGCUCUCUGGGCCCUACCUGACGCUGAGGAGCGAAAGCGUGGGGAGCGAACAGG